This 684-nucleotide long non-coding RNA is filed under the name Cairina moschata (Muscovy duck). RNAcentral describes it as "domestica (muscovy Duck (domestic type)) lncRNA (ENSCMMG00000013635.1)". The record is from RNAcentral. Lineage: Eukaryota; Metazoa; Chordata; Aves; Anseriformes; Anatidae.
UUUUUCCCGUUUUCCCCCCGUUUUUGCUCACCUCUCCUCCUCUGGCAGAAGCAGACGGCCACGAGCAGCCCCAGGAGCAGCGCGGCGGCGGCGGCGACGCAACCGGCCACCAGCGGGACGGGCAGAGCCGGGGCUGUCCAAAAAACCCCCAAAACACCCCAAAAAAAAAGGCUUCGUUAACGCGUCGUCAACUAAUUAUUGAGUCAACCAAGAGGUUUGAGAGCGUUGGAAGAGGUGGAGGUGGCCCCCGGGGAAGACCCUGAAGGGGAAUUUGAGCAAUUUCCAGCUAAAGAGGGAAUCGGAGCGGAGUUUGGGGAUGGAUUUGGAAAACUGGGGUCCUCCGACCGCUCCUCGAGGUGGAUUUUUGGGAAUCGAGGUUCCUCCAACUGCUCCUCAAGGUUUUGGGGUCUGGCCGGCGACGGAGGAGCGAAGGCGUUUUUUUGGGGCGAUAUUCGUCGUUUUGGAGCAUUUGAUCGUUUUGAGAGGAUUUUGAUGUUUCAAUUUUGGUCAUUUUGGGGAAAUCCGCUCAUUUUUGGCGAUACUUGCUGUUUUUAAACAUCUCCCCCCUUUUUGGGGCUUUUCUCGCCAUUUCCGAAUAAAUCCCAAAAAAAAAACCCCGCGAGUCUCGUUUUUUUUUUGUAAUUUUACCAAAAUCCCGGGAUCUGAGCCCGUCUCCCCCCCUGC